ACGUAUGGCGCAAUCUUUAUCCGGAUUUACUGGGUGUAAAGGGUGCGUAGGUGGCAGUGCAAGUCAGAUGUGAAAGGCCGGGGCUCAACCCCGGAGCUGCAUUUGAAACUGCUCGGCUAGAGUACAGGAGAGGCAGGCGGAAUUCCUAGUGUAGCGGUGAAAUGCGUAGAUAUUAGGAGGAACACCAGUGGCGAAGGCGGCUUGCUGGACUGUUACUGACACUGAGGCACGAAAGCGUGGGGAGCAAACAG
RNAcentral lists this ribosomal RNA (251 nucleotides) under uncultured prokaryote. RNAcentral's name for it is "partial 16S rRNA". It matches the Rfam family "Bacterial small subunit ribosomal RNA", at positions 525 to 775 of the family's 1533-position model. The record is from RNAcentral.